CCUACGGGUGGCAGCAGUGGGGAAUAUUGGACAAUGGGGGGAACCCUGAUCCAGCCAUGCCGCGUGUGUGAAGAAGGCCCUCGGGUUGUAAAGCACUUUCAGUGAGGAAGAACGCCUGGUGGUUAAUACCCAUCAGGAAAGACAUCACUCACAGAAGAAGCACCGGCUAACUCCGUGCCAGCAGCCGCGGGUAAUACGGAGGGUGCGAGCGUUAAUCGGAAUUACUGGGCGUAAAGCGCGCGUAGGUGGCUUGAUAAGCCGGUUGUGAAAGCCCCGGGCUCAACCUGGGAACGGCAUCCGGAACUGUCAAGCUAGAGUGCAGGAGAGGAAGGUAGAAUUCCCGGUGUAGCGGUGAAAUGCGUAGAGAUCGGGAGGAAUACCAGUGGCGAAGGCGGCCUUCUGGACUGACACUGACACUGAGGUGCGAAGGCGUGGGUAGCAAACAGGAUUAGAUACCCCUGUAGUC
Molecule: ribosomal RNA, 466 nt
Filed under: Vreelandella stevensii
Lineage: Bacteria; Pseudomonadati; Pseudomonadota; Gammaproteobacteria; Oceanospirillales; Halomonadaceae
Description: partial 16S ribosomal RNA
Rfam family: Bacterial small subunit ribosomal RNA
Source: RNAcentral